UAAAGAUUCAUCGCUGAUAGAUAGGCAUGCGUUCCAUUAGGCAGUUGGCGGGGUAACGGCCCACCAAACCGACGAUGGAUAGGGGUUCUGAGAGGAAGGUCCCCCACAUUGGUACUGAGACACGGACCAAACUCCUACGGGAGGCAGCAGUGAGGAAUAUUGGUCAAUGGGCGUAAGCCUGAACCAGCCAAGUCGCGUGAGGGAUGAAGGUUCUAUGGAUCGUAAACCUCUUUUAUAAGGGAAUAAAGUGCGGGACGUGUCCCGUUUUGUAUGUACCUUAUGAAUAAGGAUCGGCUAACUCCGUGCCAGCAGCCGCGGUAAUACGGAGGAUCCGAGCGUUAUCCGGAUUUAUUGGGUUUAAAGGGUGCGUAGGCGGCCUUUUAAGUCAGCGGUGAAAGUCUGUGGCUCAACCAUAGAAUUGCCGUUGAAACUGGGAGGCUUGAGUAUGUUUGAGGCAGGCGGAAUGCGUGGUGUAGCGGUGAAAUGCUUAGGUAUCACGCAGAACCCCGAUUGCGAAGGCAGCCUGCCAAGCCAUGACUGACGCUGAUGCACGAAAGCGUGGGGAUCAAACAGGAUUAGAUACCCUGGUAGUCCACGCAGUAAACGAUGAUCACUAGCUGUUUGCGAUACA
Molecule: ribosomal RNA, 631 nt
Filed under: uncultured bacterium
Lineage: Bacteria
Description: bacterial SSU rRNA
Rfam family: Bacterial small subunit ribosomal RNA
Source: RNAcentral